Molecule: long non-coding RNA, 1068 nt
Filed under: Cyanistes caeruleus (blue tit)
Lineage: Eukaryota; Metazoa; Chordata; Aves; Passeriformes; Paridae
Description: lncRNA (ENSCCEG00000018658.1)
Source: RNAcentral
GGGGGGAAAUUGGGAUUUUUUGGGGGAUUUUUUGGGCAGAAUUUGUGAUAUUUUGGGUAAUUCUGUGAUCCCAGUUUUGGGGUGCCCUGGGGGAUUUUUGGGGGAUUUUUUUGGCAGAAUUUGUGAUUUUUUGGGGAUUUUUUGGGCAGAAUUUGUGAUUUUUGGGGGGAUUUUUUGGGGAUUUUUUGGGCAGAAUUUGUGAUUUUUGGGAGGAUUUUUUGGUCAGAAUUUGUGAUAUUUUGGGUAAUUUUGUGAUCCCAGUUUUGGGGUGCCCAGGGGGGUUUUUGGGGGGAUUUUUUGGGCAGAAUUUGUGAUAUUUUUGGGUAAAAUUGGGAUUUUUUGGAGAUUUUUUUUGGCAGAAUUUGUGAUUUUUUGGGGGAUUUUUUUGGAAUUUUUUUGGCAGAAAUUGGGAUUUUUGGGGGGAUUUUUUGGGCAGAAUUUGUGAUAUUUUGGGUAAUUCUGUGAUCCCAGUUUUGGGGUGCCCAGGGGGGUUUUUGGGGGGAUUUUUUGGGCAGAAUUUGUGAUAUUUUUGGGUAAAAUUGGGAUUUUUUGGAGAUUUUUUUUGGCAGAAUUUGUGAUUUUUUGGGGGAUUUUUUUGGAAUUUUUUUGGCAGAAAUUGGGAUUUUUGGGGGGAUUUUUUGGGCAGAAUUUGUGAUUUUUUGGGGAUUUUUUGGGGAUUUUUUUGGCAGAAUUUGUGAUUUUUUGGGGAUUUUUUGGGCAGAAUUUGUGAUUUUUGGGGGGAUUUUUUGGGGAUUUUUUUGGCAGAAUUUGUGAUUUUUUGGGGAUUUUUUGGGCAGAAUUUGUGAUUUUUGGGGGGAUUUUUUGGGGAUUUUUUGGGCAGAAUUUGUGAUUUUUGGGAGGAUUUUUUGGUCAGAAUUUGUGAUAUUUUGGGUAAUUUUGUGAUCCCAGUUUUGGGGUGCCCAGGGGGGUUUUUGGGGGAUUUUUUGGGCAGGAUUUGUGAUAUUUUGGGUAAUUCUGAUAUCCCGGUUUUGGGGUCCCCAGGGGGGUUUUUGGUGGGAUUUUUGGGGGGAUUUUUUGGCAGAAAUUGUGAUUUUUUGGGGGAUUUUU